This 318-nucleotide ribosomal RNA is filed under the name uncultured Actinomycetes bacterium. RNAcentral's name for it is "bacterial SSU rRNA". It matches the Rfam family "Bacterial small subunit ribosomal RNA", at positions 28 to 351 of the family's 1533-position model. The record is from RNAcentral. Lineage: Bacteria; Bacillati; Actinomycetota; Actinomycetes.
GACGAACGCUGGCGGCGUGCUUAACACAUGCAAGUCGAGCGGUAAGGCCUUUCGGGGUACACGAGCGGCGAACGGGUGAGUAACACGUGGGUGACCUGCCCUCCACUUCGGGAUAAGCCUGGGAAACCGGGUCUAAUACCGGAUAUGACUUCUCGGUGCAUGCCGGGUUGUGGAAAGUUCUUUCGGUGGGGAUGGGCCCGCGGUCUAUCAGCUUGUUGGUGGGGUGAUGGCCUACCAAGGCGACGACGGAUAGCCGGCCUGAGAGGGUGAUCGGCCACACUGGGACUGAGACACGGCCCAGACUCCUACGGGAGGCUG